Molecule: long non-coding RNA, 739 nt
Filed under: Anas platyrhynchos platyrhynchos (common mallard)
Lineage: Eukaryota; Metazoa; Chordata; Aves; Anseriformes; Anatidae
Description: lncRNA (ENSAPLG00000025944.1)
Source: RNAcentral
UUUCCAUUGAAACACCACCAUUUGUUUUAAAAUGGUGAUUUUUUUAAACAUUUGACAGUCCUGAACAUUGAAGUGUCAUGUAAGAAAAUAAUUACCACUAAAACCAGAUAUUUUCUUAGAAAUAUUAAUUUGAUUUCAAUAAAACCUCAUACUACCAGCUUUGUUUUGGUAUAAUUAGACUAUUUACAUCUGAUUUGAUUUGAUUUUCUGUUUCUUUGUAACCUCCAGAAUAUGUCCUCCGACAUUGAGCACGGCAUAUCCCAUUUGUAAGUCUGUAUACCUGAAGAUUAGCUACUUAUGUGAGUCCUGCAAGAAACAGGAAAGAAUAAGACGUAAGAUUAUGCCUCUGGUGGGAAAGGCUGCAGCACUCUCCAGAAGGGUUGAUCCAUCACACUAAGUACUGCUGUCUGCCCCUCAAUUGGAAAAAGCACCAGCCUAAUGUGUUUCUGUGAAGAGUUUCAAAGUUGGUAUUUCCCAGUGAAAUAAAUAUUUUGGAGCACGUUUUCUAGCUUGCGCUACCUGAGGGUAUGUGGACCCAGCAGACCCAGCUGCAGUUCCAGGAGCAAACUCACAUCAUGACCUGAACUGUGAGGCUCAGCUGUGCUUUCCUUGAUGUUCAGCACUAUACAGAAAUUUAGGAAAGGAGUCUGGUUUGCCCUGAUUUACACCAGAAUAAACUCAUACGUUGGGAAUGUGACAAGAAAUCACUGGCACUGGAGGGCGCUCCUAAAGAAGUAGA